Ochotona curzoniae (black-lipped pika) is the source of this 1152-nucleotide long non-coding RNA. RefSeq lists it as uncharacterized. The transcript is spliced from 2 exons. NCBI's taxonomy places the organism in Eukaryota, Metazoa, Chordata, Mammalia, Lagomorpha, Ochotonidae. The record is from RefSeq and is a predicted model, not a curated record.
UUGCCUCAGAGCACCACAGUGAGCAGACUUGGGAACUACCUCCGUGCUCGGUAGUGCUUUGAGCACUAGACCUCUCUGGGGCUGCAGAGGAAGAGGGGCUCCUCUGUCUGAGUGUCUCAGCCUCCAGAGGAGAUGGCUAUCCUUAUCCAGGAUCUUGAAACCACAGUUGGAAGAUGGUGGCGCUUCUGCCGAACUCCAGCACCGUGACGUGGGAUGCAAGUGUGUGAACUGCCAGGCUCAAUGCUUGCUCCUACCUGACCAUUUUUAAAGGGAUGUGUGUUUAUUAUGAACAGUCCUACAGAUAAUGAAAUCUUUAUUUUUUUCUGGACAACUGCUGAGGCUGAAAAAUGUGACUUCUGCUUUUUACCCUUUAUACCACAGCAUUCAUCAACAUAGAGCAUUUUCUCAAACACUGUAUACUAACUAUUGCAAGAGUUUUAAUCCAAGAUUUUAGAUGUAGGACUGAGUGCUGAAGAUAAAAAAUGUUUUCUGUUUGCUUUCCAUCUCUUAGUAGUGCUUUACUCUGAAUCCGUGUUUUCAGUAAGCCUUAAAUUGCCAGUUUGAGUUUGUACUGUUACUUUAUGCUCUUGUUAACAGCAAAUAAGAUUGCGUAUUUCCCUGCAGCCAUUAUGUUUGAACUAGUCCUCAAGUGUCUCAUUAAAUAUAUUUUUACACUUAGUUACAGUAAGGUUUACUUUGUUACACAGUUUGGAGAGCCCUGACAGUUGCACUAAACUGUGUAACUCAGUCACGCUUACAGAACAGUUCAGUCACCAUAACACAUUCUCUUGUAUCAUGCUUUCCUGACAAACCUGCCCCAACCUUGGACAACUCUUUGAUUCCUUCAAGCCUGCGAUGUUCUUAUCUCUAGAAUGGCUUGCAGAUACAGUAAUAGUAUGUAGCCUUUUGACUCUGCAUCUUCCAGGAAGCAAAAUCCUUAGUGAUUCAUCCAUGUUUUCUAUUUGUCAUUGAUUUGUUCCUUGUUAUUGCUGAGUAGUUUCUCACUAUGUGAGUGUACCCGUGUAUAUAUCACCCAUUAAUAGAUGAGUAAAUGCUUUUUUGCACUGCUACUAGAUCUUGGCAAAUAUAAUAGAGCUGGUACAAACAUUCAUAUACGGACAUCUAUGUGAAUCUAGGUUUGCCUUUCUCUUG